CUUGGAAGCUUCAAACAGUGCUGGGAGAGAACUCAGGGAGAGCCCCAGGGUGCAGAUGGAGCUGGGAUCUGCUGGGAUCCUGGCUGGGAUCUGGGCUGGAUCCUGGUGGAUCCCUCAGCUGCUCCAGCACUGGCUGUGGCCCUGUGAGCUGGAUCUGGGUUCAAUCCUGGUGGAUCCCGGCUGGAUUUGGGUUGGAUUUGGGCUCAAUCUUGGCUGUGAUCCCAGCUGGAUCUGGGCUGGAUCCCAGCUGGAUCUGGGUUCAAUCCCGGCUGGAUCUGGGCUGGAUCCCAACAGGAUCUGGGUUCAAUCCCAGCUGGAUCUGGGUUCAAUCCCAGCUGGAUUUGGGCUGGAUCCCAGCUCUGAUCCCAUCAGAUCCCAUGGGAUCCCUCAGUUGCUGCAGCACUGCCCGCGGCCCUGUGAGCUGGAUCUGGGUUCAAUCCUGGUGGAUCAGGGUUCAAUCCCAGCUGGAUUUGGGCUGGAUCCCAGCUCAUGGAUCCCAUCAGAUCCCGUGGAUCCCUCAGUUGCUGCAGCACUGCCCGCGGCCCUGCGGGCUCUGGGUUCAAUCCUGGUGGAUCCUGGCUGGAUCUGGGUUCAAUCCCAGCUCAUGGAUCCCAUCAGAUCCCAUGGAUCCCUCAGUUGCUGCAGCACUGCCCGCGGCCCUGCGGGCUCUGGGUUCAAUCCUGGCUGGGUUUGGGCUGGAUCAGGGUUCAAUCCCAGCUCAUGGAUCCCAUCGGAUCCCNGCCAGAGGGGAUCUGGUGAAUCCAAAAGGGAUCUGGUGGAGCCAGGAGGGAUCUGGAGGAUCCUGGUGGAGUCUGGAAGGUCCAGGUGGGAUCUGAAGAAUCCAUGUGAAAUCUGGAAGGUCCAGACGGGAUCUGGAGGAUCCAGGUGGGAUCUGGUGGAUCCUGGUAGAGUCUGGAGGAGCCAGGAGGAUCCUGGUGGAGUCUGGAAGGUCCAGGUGGGAUCUGGAGGAUCCUGGUGGGAUCUGGAGGAUCCUGAUGGAGUCUGGAGGAUCCAGGAAGGAUCUGGAGGAUCCAGGUGGGAUCUGAAGAAUCCAUGUGAAAUCUGGAAGGUCCAGACGGGAUCUGGAGGAUCCAGGUGGGAUCUGGUGGAUCCUGGUGGAGUCUGGAGGAGCCAGGAGGAUCCUGAUGGAGUCUGGAAGGUCCAGGUGGGAUCUGGUGGAGCCAGGAGGGAUCAUGAGGAUCCUGAUGGAGUCUGGAGCAUCUGUGUGACCUCUGGGGGAUCCAGGAGGGAUCUGAAGAAUCCAUGUGAGAUCUGGAAGGUCCAGACGGGAUCUGGAGGAUCCAGGUGGGAUCUGGAGGAUCUGGGUGAAAUCUGGAAGGUCCAGGAGGAUCCUGGUGGAGUCUGGAAGGUCCAGGUGGGAUCUGGAUGAUCCAGGAGGGAUCUGGAGGAUCCUGAUGGAGUCUGGAGGAUCUGUGUGAGAUCUGGUGGAUCCAGGAGAGAGCUGGUGGAUCCUGAUAGAGUCUGGAAGGUCCAGGUGGGAUCUGGUGGAGCCAGGAGGGAUCUGGUGGAUCCUGGUGGAGUCUGGACGAUCUGUGUGAGAUCUGGAGGAUCCAGGAAGGAUCUGGAGGAUCCGGGUGGGAUCUGAAGAAUCUGUGUGAAAUCUGGAAGGUCCAGGUGGGAUCUGGUGGAGCCAGGUGGGAUCUGGUAGAUCCAAGUGGGGCCUGGUGGAGCCAGGAGGGAUCUUGGUGGAGCUGGNGGGGACAUCAAGGCCACCACCAGGAUCAUUGAGGGGACAUUGAGGCCACCACAGAGGGGACAUUGAGGGGACAUUGGGGCCACCAUGACUGGGAAUACUUGGGGACAUCGAGGCCACCACUGCGACCACUGAGGGGACAUUGAGGCCACCACAGAGGGGACAUCAAGGCCACCAUGGCUGGGAACACCUGGGGACAUGGUGGCCACCACUGAGAUCAUAGAAGGGACAUUGUGGCGACCACUGAGGGGACAUCAAGGCCACCAUUGGGACCACCUGGGGAUGUCACCUGGGGGACAUCAAGGCCACCACCAGGAUCACUGAGGGGACAUUGAGGAGACAUUUGGGCCACCAUGACUGGGAACACCUGGGGACAUCGAGGCCACCACUGGGACCACUGAGGGGACAUCGAGGCCACCACAGAGGGGACAUUGAGGGGACAUUGAGGCCACCACAGAGUGGACAUCGAGGUCACCAUGGCUGGGAACACCUGGGGACGUGGUGGCCACCACUGAGAUCAUAGAAGGGACAUUGUGGCCACCACUGAGGGGACAUCAAGGCCACCACCAGGAUCACUGAGGGGACAUUGGGGACACCAUGGUUGGGAUCACUUGGGGGACAUCACCUGGGGGACACUGGGGCCACCAUUGGGACCAAUGAGGGGCCACCAUGGCUG
Zonotrichia albicollis (white-throated sparrow) is the source of this 2390-nucleotide long non-coding RNA. NCBI's taxonomy places the organism in Eukaryota, Metazoa, Chordata, Aves, Passeriformes, Passerellidae. The record is from Ensembl.